GCUGAGGAGCGAAAGCAUGGGGGAGCGAACAGGAUUAGAUACCCUGGUAGUCCAUGCCGUAAACGUUGGGCACUAGGUGUGGGGACCAUUCCACGGUUUCCGCGCCGCAGCUAACGCAUUAAGUGCCCCGCCUGGGGAGUACGGCCGCAAGGCUAAAACUCAAAGGAAUUGACGGGGGCCCGCACAAGCGGCGGAGCAUGCGGAUUAAUUCGAUGCAACGCGAAGAACCUUACCAAGGCUUGACAUGUUCUCGAUCGCCGUAGAGAUACGGUUUCCCCUUUGGGGCGGGUUCACAGGUGGUGCAUGGUUGUCGUCAGCUCGUGUCGUGAGAUGUUGGGUUAAGUCCCGCAACGAGCGCAACCCUCGUUCCAUGUUGCCAGCACGUAGUGGUGGGGACUCAUGGGAGACUGCCGGGGUCAACUCGGAGGAAGGUGAGGACGACGUCAAAUCAUCAUGCCCCUUAUGUCUUGGGCUUCACGCAUGCUACAAUGGCCGGUACAAUGGGUUGCGAUACUGUGAGGUGGAGCUAAUCCCAAAAAGCCGGUCUCAGUUCGGAUUGGGGUCUGCAACUCGACCCCAUGAAGUCGGAGUCGCUAGUAAUCGCAGAUCAGCAACGCUGCGGUGAAUACGUUCCCGGGCCUUGUACACACCGCC
Molecule: ribosomal RNA, 654 nt
Filed under: Micrococcus luteus
Lineage: Bacteria; Bacillati; Actinomycetota; Actinomycetes; Micrococcales; Micrococcaceae
Description: bacterial SSU rRNA
Rfam family: Bacterial small subunit ribosomal RNA
Source: RNAcentral